This 2459-nucleotide transfer RNA is filed under the name Cylindrocapsa geminella. RNAcentral's name for it is "partial large subunit ribosomal RNA". The stretch from base 350 to 2459 matches the Rfam family "Bacterial large subunit ribosomal RNA", at positions 1 to 1918 of the family's 2925-position model. The record is from RNAcentral. Lineage: Eukaryota; Viridiplantae; Chlorophyta; Chlorophyceae; Sphaeropleales; Cylindrocapsaceae.
GAGCGCACCCCUGAUAAGGGUGAGGCCGCUGGUUCAAGUCCAGCAUAGCCCAUCUUUUGCACGAGAAACCAAAAAAAAAGAAUUGGAAUGAACGAAGUUGAAAUACGAAUAGUAUCUCGAACGCUAGUGAAUUGAAUGAAAUUAAUUUUUUUCAAAGGAGAUACUACUAGUAUAUCGAACAAGAUAUGGUGGGGGUAUAGCUCAGUUGGUAGAGCGUUGCUUUUGCACGGCAAAUGUCAGCGGUUCGAAUCCGCUUACCUCCACCGAGUUCCCAGCUAAAGCUCAGGAAUGAACGCUAGUGAAUUGAGAUACGAAUAGUCUCGACUUUUCUUACGCACUUUUCUUGAAAAGUUACAUGAAUAAGGCUCACGGCGGAGACCUAGGCACUCAGAGACGAUGAAGGGCGCGAAUACCGGCGAGACGCUUGGGGGAGCUGGAGAUAAGCGAAGAUCCGAAGAUUCCCUAAUAGGGCAACCUCUUGAACUUCUUCACGAAUAAAGAAUAGUGAGGAAAGAGAGCACCUGGUGAAUUGAAACAUCUUAGUAGCCAGAGGAAGAGAAAGCAAACGCGAUUCUCGAAGUAGCGGCGAGCGAAACGGGACAAAGCCUAAACCGGCCCAGUGGGCCCGGAGUCGUGGGAAGACAAGAAACCAUACCAGAGACAUAGGAGAUACCAAUAGUCUCUCCUAUGUCUCUGGUCUCUGGAAUGUGUGAAUUGGGGGGAUGAAGCAGCUGAAUCCUGCACCAUAGAUGGUGAAAGUCCAGUAGUUCCACCACACAUCACAUAUGUCAUAUCCCGAGUAGCAUGGGACACGUGGAAUCCCGUGUGAAUCAGCGAGGACCACCUCGUAAGGCUAAAUAUGCCUGAGUGACCGAUAGCGAAAUAGUACUGUGAAGGAACGGUGAAAGAGAGAUCCUUCGGGAAAGUGAAAGAGAACACGAAACCGUGAGCUGACAUGCAGUGGGAGGGCAGAGACCCUGACCGCGUGCCUGUUGAAGAAUGAGCCGGCGACUUAUAGGGAGUGGCAUGGUUAAGGAGAUACUCCGGAGCCAGAGCAAAAACGAGUCUAAAGAGGGCAAUUCUCAGGUCAUUUCCUAUGGACCCGAACCCGGGUGAUCUUACCAUGGCCAGGAUGAAGCUUGGGUAACACCAAUUGGAGGUCCGAACCGACCGAUGUUGAAAAAUCGGCGGAUGAGCUGUGGUAAGCGGAGAAAUUCCAAUCGAACUCGGAGCUAGCUGGAUCUCCCCGAAAUGCGUUGAGGCGCAGCGGUGACGACGAGCUGACUUGGGGUAAAGCACUGUUUCGAUACGGGCUGCGAGAGCGGUACCAAGUCGUGGCAAACUCAGAAUACAGGUCAUGAAUUGAUGAUAUUACUUAGCUUUCCGUCAACCAGUGAGACGAUGGGGGAGAAGCUUCAUCGUCAAGAGGGCAACAGCCCAGACCACCAGCUAAGGCCCCGAAAUGGCCGCUAAGUGGAAAAGGAUGUGAGAAUGCGAAGACAACUAGGAGGUUUGCUUAGAAGCAGCAAGCCUUGAAAGAAAGCGUAAUAGCUCACUAGUUUUUGAGCGCUCUUGCGCCGACAAUGUCCGGGACUAAGCGGCCUGCCGAAGCUGUGGGAUUUCUCGCGAGAAGCUAGGAAUCGGUAGGGGAGCGUUCCGCUUAGGGUGAAGCGAACACGAAAGUGGACGUGGACAAAGUGGAAGUGAGAAUGUCGGCUUGAGUAACGAAAACAUUGGUGAGAAUCCAAUGCCCCGUAAACCUAAGGGUUCCACCGCAAGGUUCGUCCACGGUGGGUGAGUCAGGACCUAAGGCCAGGCCGAGAGGCGUCGUCGAUGGAAAACAGGUUAAUAUUCCUGUACUUCUUCUUGUGGGGACGGGGGACGAAGCAGGCUAAGCUGGAACCACCAUGGAUUGUGGUGCGAAUGUCAAGGUAAAGAUACUGAGAAUCCGAAAACUCAGACUCAAGGACCAAAUUCCAAAACCAUCUCACCCCGCCUGGUUCUCCUGAGUAGUGUGCAUAAGAGCUUUAGAGCUCGGUGCGCAGCUUUGAGCUGAGACGGUAGGGUACACUGUUUUGUCAAACUCUUUGCUUGAAAAAACUUUGUACUUCAGUGACGUCAUAUCUUCCAAGAAAAUCCCGAAACCCUCCAUUUGGAAAACACAAGAAGGACCUGUACCUGAAACCGACACAGGUAGGUGGGUAGAGAAUACCAAGGGGCGCGAGACAACUCUCUCUAAGGAACUCGGCAAACUGGCCCCGUAACUUCGGAAGAAGGGGUGCCCUCGACACAUUCGAAAGAUCGUGUGGAGGGUCGCAGUGACCAGGCUCAGGCGACUGUUUACCAAAAACACAGGUCUCCGCAAAGUCGUAAGACAAUAUAUGGGGGCUGACGCCUGCCCAGUGCUGGAAGGUAAAGGAAGUUGGUCAUUCCCUUGGGAAGAAGCUGACGACCGAAGC